AACAAGACGAAGAACGAAACGAAGUAGUGAUUAAGGUCGAUGUUUCAGAAAGCUAGUGGUUGCUGCGAACUAGUACAAGCCUUAAAACGAAUUACAUUUCAGGAGUCUUUGACAGUUUUUGUCACGCGACAGCGUUAAAUGUUUGAGAGAUAUGUUCUUGAAGAACAUAUAAUUUGGGUGGUACCGCGAAUUUUCGUCCCUUGA
This 204-nucleotide non-coding RNA is filed under the name Enterococcus thailandicus. RNAcentral's name for it is "T-box sequence". It matches the Rfam family "T-box leader". From Rfam's summary of the family: Uncharged tRNA acts as the effector for transcription antitermination of genes in the T-box leader family. T-boxes are found upstream of many aminoacyl-tRNA synthetase genes and some amino acid biosynthetic genes usually in Gram-positive bacteria. The record is from RNAcentral. Lineage: Bacteria; Bacillati; Bacillota; Bacilli; Lactobacillales; Enterococcaceae.